UUAGCAAAUGCAACAAGUAAGUAAAAAACAUUUUAAUUGGAAUGGUACAAAGAAGAUAAGCAUGGCCCUUGCACAAGGAUGACAUGCAAAUUCAUGAAGCAUUCCAUUUCAAA
Small nuclear RNA from Camelus dromedarius (Arabian camel), 113 nucleotides. The record is from Ensembl. Lineage: Eukaryota; Metazoa; Chordata; Mammalia; Artiodactyla; Camelidae.